CUUCCGGAGCUAACGCGUUAAGUAGACCGCCUGGGGAGUACGGCCGCAAGGUUAAAACUCAAAUGAAUUGACGGGGGCCCGCACAAGCGGUGGAGCAUGUGGUUUAAUUCGAUGCAACGCGAAGAACCUUACCUGGUCUUGACAUCCACAGAACUUUCCAGAGAUGGAYUGGUGCCUUCGGGAACUGUGAGACAGGUGCUGCAUGGCUGUCGUCAGCUCGUGUUGUGAAAUGUUGGGUUAAGUCCCGCAACGAGCGCAACCCUUAUCCUUUGUUGCCAGCGAUUAGGUCGGGAACUCAAAGGAGACUGCCAGUGAUAAACUGGAGGAAGGUGGGGAUGACGUCAAGUCAUCAUGGCCCUUACGACCAGGGCUACACACGUGCUACAAUGGCGCAUACAAAGAGAAGCGACCUCGCGAGAGCAAGCGGACCUCAUAAA
This 437-nucleotide ribosomal RNA is filed under the name Salmonella enterica. RNAcentral's name for it is "bacterial SSU rRNA". Lineage: Bacteria; Pseudomonadati; Pseudomonadota; Gammaproteobacteria; Enterobacterales; Enterobacteriaceae. The record is from RNAcentral.